Molecule: unclassified non-coding RNA, 277 nt
Filed under: Hevea brasiliensis (rubber tree)
Lineage: Eukaryota; Viridiplantae; Streptophyta; Magnoliopsida; Malpighiales; Euphorbiaceae
Source: RNAcentral
UUUUUUUUUUCUUUUUGCUUUUUUCUUUUUUGUUUGAGAAAUAUCAAACCAUAUAGAGUUUCCUAAAAGUUAUUGAACUUAAGAUUAUCAAAAGUUUGUAAAGCUUUAACGGUUCACAUAAUCAAAAAAUGAGAUUGUGUCCCUAAUAUUAUUCAAAAAAGGAACUGUAUUAGCACAUUAUUCCUAUAAUCCAUUUGUUUGACUAUUUUUGUCUUAUAUUUGGACACACACAUGCAAGUCCCUUUGUGUGUGUGUGUGUGCGUGCGUGUGUGUGUGU